Molecule: long non-coding RNA, 721 nt
Organism: Ruditapes philippinarum (Manila clam)
Lineage: Eukaryota; Metazoa; Mollusca; Bivalvia; Venerida; Veneridae
Exons: 4
Source: RefSeq, a predicted model, not a curated record
CGUUAAAGCGAAAGUCUAUACAGAUUUCAUGCCCCUUGUCUAUACAAAUUUAUCUGCCGUAAACCGUCUGACAGAACGAUUUUCAGCAAAACAUCAGGAAAAUGGCCGCCAGCCGAUGUUUUCAACUAGACGAGUAUGAAAGGGAAUACAGUGUUAGAUAUCAUCGAGUAGAUCUAUAUGUGACCAAAGGGUUUCAGAAGUCUUGGUGGACAGAGGGAUAGUAUGAAUGCUUCAGUGAAAUUAAGGAGCUCAGGUUCUAACAAGCGUAGUAGAGCAGUGCAACACAGAGGUACUCCAAUGUGGCAACUUUUUCCAGACAGUGAUUACAGCGAGGCUUGAAGACUACUGUACACAAUUUCUUAACAAAUCCAAAAAACAAAGCCGUGUAACAUUCAACUAAGUGAUUCAAAGAAAAUCAAAUUACAAACAAGAAAAGGGUUUCGAUUGAAUGGAGUGACAUUUUUACCCUGAAGCGUCCUAUUAAGAUAAGAGAAUCUAGUCGUUUGUGCCAACGGCACAAAAUUAUCAGACACAUAAGUAACAUUCAAAUAGUUAUGCAUUUACAUGGAGGAUAUGACAUAAUUGUAUUUUCAUAUUGAAUUUAUCAUAUAAGUUGCCAGUUGAUCGAACCACACACUUAAAUUGCCAACAUGGUUGGAAGGGUCUUAUUGUCCAAGCUGCAAAGAGUGUAUACCCUUAUAAAUUAGCUGGCACAGUUGUG